Molecule: non-coding RNA, 29 nt
Filed under: Mus musculus (house mouse)
Lineage: Eukaryota; Metazoa; Chordata; Mammalia; Rodentia; Muridae
Source: RNAcentral
UGCUCACACAGAAUCCAUGCUCUUUUGCA